GAUGAAGAACGCAGCGAACUGCGAUAAGUAAUGUGAAUUGCAGAAUUCAGUGAAUCAUCGAGUCUUUGAACGCACAUUGCGCCCCCUGGCAUUCCGGGGGGCAUGCCUGUCCGAGCGUCAUUGCUGCCCUUCAAGCCCGGCUUGUGUGUUGGGUCGUCGUCCCCCCCGGGGGACGGGCCCGAAAGGCAGCGGCGGCACCGCGUCCGGUCCUCGAGCGUGUGGGGCUUUGUCACCCGCUCGAUUAGGGCCGGCCGGGCGCCAGCCGGCGUCUCCAACCUUCUAUUUUACCAGGUUGACCUCGGAUCAGGUAGGGAUACCCGCUGAACUUAAGCAUAUCAAUAAGCGGAGGA
Molecule: unclassified non-coding RNA, 350 nt
Filed under: soil metagenome
Description: partial contains 5.8S ribosomal RNA, internal transcribed spacer 2, and large subunit ribosomal RNA
Rfam family: 5.8S ribosomal RNA (bases 1-120)
Source: RNAcentral